CAUACGUUAAUAGCGUAUGGAUUUGACGUUAGCUGCAGAAGAAGCACCGGCUAACUCCGUGCCAGCAGCCGCGGUAAUACGGAGGGUGCGAGCGUUAAUCGGAAUUACUGGGCGUAAAGCGCAUGCAGGUGGUUUGUUAAGUCAGAUGUGAAAGACCCGGGGCGUCAACCUCGGAAUUGCAUUUGUAAACUAGGCAGACUAGAGUACUGUAGAGGGGGGUAGGAAUUUCAGGUGUAGCGGUGAAAUGCGUAGAGAUCUGAAGGAAUACCGGUGGCGAAGGCGGCCCCCUCGGACAGAUACUGACACUCAGAUGCGAAAGCGUGGGGAGCAAACAGGAUUAGAUACCCCUGGUAG
This 354-nucleotide ribosomal RNA is filed under the name uncultured bacterium. Its description in RNAcentral is "bacterial SSU rRNA". It matches the Rfam family "Bacterial small subunit ribosomal RNA", at positions 451 to 793 of the family's 1533-position model. The record is from RNAcentral.